GGGGGCGAACCGGUUUCGACGAGGGCAACGAGCCUUUCGGCGCAUGCAGGGGACGCACGCUCCUCUUUAAAAAGCGGGCAACGUAACAAACGCCAACGACAACGUUGAGCUCGCGCUCGCCGCCUAAAGCGGCUUAAGCGCGCGGGACCUCCGGAGCCCAGCCCAUGGCGCCGGAUAGUCCCGCCAAAAAAGUGGGCUGGCCAGGGACUCGGCCCCGAGAGCCCCCGGCGAGAUCUUUCGGGGAUGGUCCGGCGGGAAGAGUGCCCGUGUUCGUCCCGCCGGAUGACGACAAAUCACGGGACAAGCAUGUAGGGCCAGAAAGGGGAGUGCUUUCGGACGCGGGUUCGAUUCCCGCCGCCUCCACUU
RNAcentral lists this transfer-messenger RNA (366 nucleotides) under Myxococcales (fruiting gliding bacteria). RNAcentral describes it as "40CM-4-68-19 sp005879315 Standard tmRNA". It matches the Rfam family "transfer-messenger RNA". From Rfam's summary of the family: Bacterial tmRNA, also known as 10Sa RNA or SsrA, is named for its dual tRNA and mRNA-like properties. Its role is to liberate the mRNA from a stalled ribosome. To accomplish this part of the tmRNA is used as a reading frame that ends in a translation stop signal. The record is from RNAcentral. RNAcentral also lists the same sequence under 1 other name. Lineage: Bacteria; Pseudomonadati; Myxococcota; Myxococcia.